RNAcentral lists this long non-coding RNA (345 nucleotides) under Homo sapiens (human). Its description in RNAcentral is "non-protein coding lnc-ARHGEF2-3:4". Lineage: Eukaryota; Metazoa; Chordata; Mammalia; Primates; Hominidae. The record is from RNAcentral.
UCAGCCAUAGUGAAGGACCAGCCCUAGGAGUCUGCGAGAGCCUCCUUGGUUCCAUCGUGAAGCCAUAAACAGGAAUGCCUUUGGCAAUAGCCUUGAGCCUAGAGGGCCCUCUGAUGCCCCACUGAGGUGCUGUUGGUUUAUUGCUGGCAACGUGAAUUCUCUCAGGGGUCUAGGAGGGGCAUUUUGGAGACUGCCUGACACCACCCCUAUCCCCUGCCUCCCCCUCUCAGAAGAGGGUGGAAGAUGAAAUGAAAGCUAUGGGACUCUUGGAGGAUACCCAGUGUCUAUUCUGGGUUAGAGAAGUGCUUACUAAGGGGUUUUCUAAUAAAAACAAAUGCCACAUUG